UUGUGGAGGAGGACGCCGAAGGUGGGGCUAAUGACUGGGGUGAAGUCGUAACAAGGUAGCCGUACCGGAAGGUGCGGCUGGAUCACCUCCUAACAGGGAGACAACAAAAUGUUUAAUAUUAUUAUUUUGUCACCUUAGGUCGAUCGGUAUCUCACGUUCUUAAUUUGUUAAGAAUUUCAUUUCCUAAGUUUUUCUAGGUCACACCCAUUAUUUUUCCUGGGCCAUUAGCUCAGGUGGUUAGAGCGCACCCCUGAUAAGGGUGAGGUCCCUGGUUCAAGUCCAGGAUGGCCCAUAUCUCUAUGUUGGGGGUAUAGCUCAGUUGGUAGAGCGCCUGCUUUGCAAGCAGGAUGUCAGCGGUUCGAGUCCGCUUACCUCCACUGAUUACCACCUCUUCCAUAACCGGUAGAAAGGAAAUGUUUUGAGUUGUGAUCAUUAUUCUGAACGAAUCUAGCUUCCUAAUGAAAUAAUUAAGAUGCUGGACUCAUUGAAUUAAUUUCAUUGUUUUCAGAGAACCUUGACAACUGCAUAGAUUUUUUUUAAAGACAAUAAGCAUCUUUAAUGAUGCAGAUUUAUUAUUUGUGCGAAUGCAUUAAUAACAAUUCUAUUAAGCUGAUGCUUCAAUUUUGAAGUUAUUGGUCAAGCUACAA
RNAcentral lists this unclassified non-coding RNA (647 nucleotides) under uncultured Prochlorococcus sp. RNAcentral describes it as "partial 16S-23S ribosomal RNA intergenic spacer; may also contain 16S ribosomal RNA and 23S ribosomal RNA". The stretch from base 305 to 377 matches the Rfam family "tRNA". Lineage: Bacteria; Bacillati; Cyanobacteriota; Cyanophyceae; Synechococcales; Prochlorococcaceae. The record is from RNAcentral.